UACGUAGGGUGCAAGCGUUGUCCGGAAUUAUUGGCGUAAAGAGCUCGUAGGCGGUCUGUCGCGUCUGCUGUGAAAACUCAGGGCUUAACCCUGAGCUUGCAGUGGGUACGGGCAGACUAGAGUGCGGUAGGGGAGACUGGAAUUCCUGGUGUAGCGGUGAAAUGCGCAGAUAUCAGGAGGAACACCAAUAGCGGAAGGCAGCUCGCUGGGACGGUACUGAC
Molecule: ribosomal RNA, 221 nt
Filed under: uncultured bacterium
Lineage: Bacteria
Description: partial 16S ribosomal RNA
Rfam family: Bacterial small subunit ribosomal RNA
Source: RNAcentral